RNAcentral lists this ribosomal RNA (421 nucleotides) under uncultured bacterium. RNAcentral's name for it is "partial 16S ribosomal RNA". It matches the Rfam family "Bacterial small subunit ribosomal RNA", at positions 359 to 772 of the family's 1533-position model. The record is from RNAcentral.
GAAUUUUGGACAAUGGGCGAAAGCCUGAUCCAGCAAUGCCGCGUGCAGGAUGAAGGCCUUCGGGUUGUAAACUGCUUUCGUACGGAACGAAAAGCUCUGGGUUAAUACCCUGGCGUCAUGACGGUACCGUAAGAACAGGCACCGGCUAACUCCGGGCCAGCAGCCGCGGUAAUACGGAGGGUGCCAGCGUUGAUCGGAAUUACUGGGCGUAAAGCGUGCGCAGGCGGUUUUGUAAGACAGAGGUGAAAUCCCCGGGCUCAACCUGGGGACUGCCUUUGUGACUGCAAGGCUAGAGUACGGCAGAGGGGGGUGGAAUUCCGCGUGUAGCAGUGAAAUGCGUAGAUAUGCGGAGGAACACCGAUGGCGAAGGCAACCCCCUGGGCCUGUACUGACGCUCAUGCACGAAAGCGUGGGGAGCAAA